This 450-nucleotide ribosomal RNA is filed under the name Helicobacter pylori. RNAcentral describes it as "bacterial LSU rRNA". It matches the Rfam family "Bacterial large subunit ribosomal RNA", at positions 1814 to 2261 of the family's 2925-position model. The record is from RNAcentral. Lineage: Bacteria; Pseudomonadati; Campylobacterota; Epsilonproteobacteria; Campylobacterales; Helicobacteraceae.
CAAAGCACUUUGUCAACUCGUAAGAGGAAGUAUAAGGUGUGACGCCUGCCCGGUGCUCGAAGGUUAAGAGGAUGCGUCAGUCGCAAGAUGAAGCGUUGAAUUGAAGCCCGAGUAAACGGCGGCCGUAACUAUAACGGUCCUAAGGUAGCGAAAUUCCUUGUCGGUUAAAUACCGACCUGCAUGAAUGGCGUAACGAGAUGGGAGCUGUCUCAACCAGAGAUUCAGUGAAAUUGUAGUGGAGGUGAAAAUUCCUCCUACCCGCGGCAAGACGGAGAGACCCCGUGGACCUUUACUACAACUUAGCACUGCUAAUGGGAAUAUCAUGCGCAGGAUAGGUGGGAGGCUUUGAAGUAAGGGCUUUGGCUCUUAUGGAGCCAUCCUUGAGAUACCACCCUUGAUGUUUCUGUUAGCUAACUGGCCUGUGUUAUCCACAGGCAGGACAAUGCUUGG